GUCAUCAUUAAAUUCGAAUGUCGUAAGAACAGUCGAAUUUUACUGUUCCCAAUUUCCACGUGAUCGAGAGAGGCAUGAAAGCGUAUGAAAGGCCAACAUGCUCAUUAACGAGCAGAAAUUUCAAAGCAAGGCACAUAUUGAAUGUAGAUAGUCAUUUUCGGAGGAAUCGAGCAUGCUUUGAAAGGUUGAUUUCUUCAAGGCUGUUUCUGCAUGUGCACACACAACCAUGAUGCUGUCACUUUUUAUUACGCAUCAAGCAUCCAAAGUGUCAUCAUUUGCAGCCCUAAAGAGAGAGAACCCCACUCGCACAUUUGAGUGUUGGAACAGAAGCCAUCUCAACUUUCUUUUCAACAAUCGUGGGGUAGACCCAAUAAGAAAAAGUGUUGAUGUCAGACUUUGGGUGGCACUUCAAGUAAAUCUCAAGUUGUGUGGAUGCGUCGCACUUUUGGCGAGUUUUGGAGAAAUAAACGAAGAAAGGUCGUCAAAAACGGAAGCUGUAGCCUUCGUGAAAAACAAGUUUCCCGCACGUCGUCGUCUGAUUUUUUAUUAGCGUCGUAAAUUUCUGAUUGAUGCCGAUUGAAGGCAUUUUUACAAUCUUGGAAAAAGGUCUAAUCAUAUACUUGGCCCGUCAGUUUUUAUCGAUGCAGUAAAAAAGGAAAAAAAGAAAGAAAAGGGGGAAAGAAAAACGUUUACGUCUGUCUCAUUAUGUAUACCCGAUAACGUACACGACGACGAAUUGUGAUCGAUUGCCGGAAACGGAUGAAUUGCUUCCAACACGAGUUGAACUGGUCCAUUAUUUCAGUGAUUGAAAGUGGAAAUGCGGAAUCAAUUGAUCGCGGACGACACUUAUUUUGUCUAUUUUUAGGAAGAGACGGGCAGAAUCUUCUUGAAAACGGAACUGGACAGAAUGGAAGAUUUGAGGCAAUCGGUUAAACUGUUUUGCGUUGAAAUUUCCCUAUUAUGAUUCUAUCUAGAUGAGGAGUUACCAUUAUUAGUAAAAAAAUUACCGCUAGAUGGCGGGAAAACUCAACAACAUGGUUUCAUCAAAAGGAAACCGAAGUAUGGAUUUGAAUUCCAACAUCCGAGUAGCCCAUCAGCUUCAAGUUCAUUAAACAAACUAGAUAAUUGCACCCUUGACACAGUUCCUGCUACAGAAUCAAAUAUUAAUAGGAACAGCAAUGUGGCAGCCAAGUUAGUGAAUGUAGCUGAGCUAGAGCUAGCUAAGAAGAAAACAGAAGAGUGCAAAACAAAUCUUUUGAAAAAUGGGAUUAUUCACCAUAUGUGCGAACUGAUCUCCAAGUGGUUGUUUGGGCAGCUAUGGAGAAAAGAGAGGUUGAAAUGUGUUAGCAGCUAGCAUCCUUAAAAGAAAAAGUAAUUCAUACAGGUCCACAGUAUUCAAAACAACUGGAAGCAUUAAAGACAGAAAUGAACUUCAAUGAAUUAGAAUUGGAGGUACAAGGAUUCCAGCCUCCGUCCAAGAAUCACCAAACAGAAGAAAAUUCCUCAACAUGUAUUACAUGAAAGCCAUCUUAUUUGGGAGCUAUGUUUAAUGUUGGUAAUUAUUUAGAUCCUCUUUUGAAAUGGCUAAAGACUCGACAGGCACUGAACGUAAAACUUAAAGUAUGGUCUAAAUACUUUAUUGCUGUGGCUCAAUUUGCAAUUUCCUGUGUAGGAAUGGAUAACGCUACCGAUACUGCAAUUCUAAUCGAAACAUUCUAAUUCAGCCUUCUGUCGCCCAUGUACAACAACGGUAGAUUGCUGAUUUUUUUGUUCCUCUUCAGCAGUGAACCUGGUAUAGCCGAAAUGUUAUGCAGCAACUUGAGAACUUGCAACAAGAGCGGGUCAAAGACGAAGAUAUUCUAAUGUCAAAUGGAGAACUUUUUUGUUGCUGGAUCGUCCGUAUUUUGCCCUUCGUCGAAAAUCCAAAACAAGGCCGCUUUAUUGAGGUCCUUCUUCUGAAGGAAUGUUCGUCAAAUUUGAAAUUUGACGGUCAUUUGAGCUCUCGUCGAGAGCCUUGGAUUACUUAUAAGCAUUCAUCAGCAAAAGGUGGACACUGUAACAGAAAAGCUUUAAUUUUCCCGCUUAAUAUCAAACGGCAAUAAUGACACAUAGACGGCAACACGAAGCAUUAUUAUUUUUUAUUUUUUUAGUUGAGAACUAAAACUAUUUCUGUCAAUUACGCAAUUUUUGAAUAACACUGAAUCGAAGUGUUUCUAGCGCAAAUUUCUUUUAAACUUAAAUAACUCAUAAACUAUAAAUCCCAAGUGAAAACAAACUUGAUUUUCAGCAUCCUCGUUAAGUUUUUAAUCUACAUUUUGUUUUUUAAUAGCAAUAUUAAGGUUUGUGAAAAAAUAAAUAAAUAAAGUCAUGCUUAUUCCGUCGGGCUUAAAAUUUUGACUUGGAAAUAUGUUUGCCACUAGAUGGCAGUAUUGCAUUGCUGAUAUAAACAGUGAAAUAGAGAACGAGUUGGGAGUUUUUUUUUUUUUUGAAGUGGGUGAAAUGGAGUUCUGUAAGAGAUUUGAGAACAGCAAAGGUUACCUUAGGAUUGUUUAUAGCUUUUCAAGCACUUUCCUAGAAAUGUCGGUAAGCACAAGUCGAACGUUUCUGGUUUUUCGUCCUUCUGGCUUAUAGCACAGUUUCCAGUAUGGGCCAAGCAAAGCAUAUUUACUGAGAGGCAAAACAAGAUCAACUCAAUGAUUAUACAAAAAGAACAUUGCCUGGAUGAGCAAGUUUACUGUAUCUGCUGUAGCUCAGACGGACCCACUACUGUGGUGAAUGCAUUCCUUGUUAUAUUAUGUAAAUAACUGCAACAAGUGUGACUUGAUGAAAACCAUGCCAGCUGUGUUAGUACUGAAUCUAUCUCACUUUUGGCCCCUAGGUGUCUUGUAUUAAAUUUUGUCUUUGACAGUAACAUAAGAAGAGGAAAUUGUUGGGAAACCCAUCUUGAAUGAAGCCAAAUAUUCCUAUGUUGAUGUUUGAGAGCCCAGCCUGUGAAAUAAUAAUACAACGGAACAGGAAAAGGCAAGAAGACAUUGUUCCUUUGCUACUUCUGGGGACCACCAUAACAACCAACAGCACAUCACAGUUGUACUUUUGACAUAUUGCUUCAGUGGAGUUAGUACGGGAACACAACACUGACAGGCCAUAGUUAAAAGCUUUUCAAGAUUCUAUGUUUCUACCUCCAUCGCCUUGCCCGUCGUCUUGCCCGUCGUCUCGUCCGUCGCCUUGCCCGUCGUCUUGCCCGUCGCCUUGCCCGUCGUCUCGUCCGUCGCCUUGCCCGUCGUCGUGCCCGUCGCCUUGCCCGUCGCCUUGCCCGUCGCCUCGUCCACCGCCUUGCCCGUCGUCUCGUUCGUCGCCUUGCCCGUCGAAUCGUCCACCGCCUUGCCCGUCGUCUUUUCCGCCGCCCAGCCUUCGCUUCGCCCGUCGCCCAGCCUUCGUCUCGUGACCCGCGCUGUCUUCACUUCGCCCGUCGCCGCCCCGUCUUCGCCUCGUGGUCGCCCCGUCACCGCCUCGUAUUUUUGGUAUCGUUGUAUUUUUUUAUGUGUAAUUGUGUAGUAUUAAUUAACCCGUUGGCUGCCACCCACUUUGAUCCCCUUUUUUUUUAAGCUUGUUAGGGUCCGGCAGCGCUGUUCUGCCCAAUGGUCUAUAUGCCAUGGGUGGGACAGUUGCACAAGCCGUGUGGCUCAAAGUCGAUCGUCGAGGCAAUGCACCAGUAGGGACUUCCCCCUUGUCGAUGUGGUGGUGGUUGCCUGGGGUGUGCAUUCCCAUAACGGCUUCCAUCAUCAUAUCAGCCCGGACUUGUUUUCGGACAAGUCCCCCUUGGUCGCUAUCCUUUCGAUAGCGAUGUAGCUAGUGUAGAUUUAGUGGCGUGGCAGCCAACGGGUUAGUUUUAUUUAUGUAUGUUUAGUAUUGUGUUGUAUUGUAAAAUGUAAAAAUUUUGUGGAGGAUUUGUGGGUGGAUGGAGGGACAAUAAAUACUUUAAUUUAUA
This 3988-nucleotide long non-coding RNA is filed under the name Daphnia magna. RNAcentral describes it as "uncharacterized LOC116932406, transcript variant X2". Lineage: Eukaryota; Metazoa; Arthropoda; Branchiopoda; Diplostraca; Daphniidae. The record is from RNAcentral.